Molecule: transfer RNA, 73 nt
Filed under: Cavia porcellus (domestic guinea pig)
Lineage: Eukaryota; Metazoa; Chordata; Mammalia; Rodentia; Caviidae
Rfam family: tRNA
About the family: Transfer RNA (tRNA) molecules are approximately 80 nucleotides in length. Their secondary structure includes four short double-helical elements and three loops (D, anti-codon, and T loops).
Source: Rfam by way of RNAcentral
AGGGAUAUAGUUCAGCAGCUUAAGCAUGUGCCUGACAAGCACGGGGUUGUGAGUUCAAUUCCCAAUACCCCUC